Molecule: ribosomal RNA, 253 nt
Filed under: uncultured bacterium
Lineage: Bacteria
Description: partial 16S ribosomal RNA
Rfam family: Bacterial small subunit ribosomal RNA
Source: RNAcentral
UACAGAGGUGGCAAGCGUUGUUCGGAAUUACUGGGCGUAAAGGGCGCGUAGGCGGCCAUCUAAGUCAGACGUGAAAUCCCCCGGCUUAACCUGGGAACUGCGUCUGAUACUGGAAGGCUUGAGUAUGGGAGAGGGAUGUAGAAUUCCAGGUGUAGCGGUGAAAUGCGCAGAUAUCAGGAGGAACACCGGUGGCGAAGGCGGGUCUCUGGGCCGUAACUGACGCUGAGGAGCGAAAGCGUGGGGAGCGAACAGG